UCAGCGAUGGAUAUCUUGGCUCUUGUGACGAUGAAGAACGCAGCAAACUGCGAAAAGCACUGCGAAUUGCAGAACCCCGUGAGUCAGUAGAUUUUCGAACGCACCCUGCGCCUUAGGGCAU
RNAcentral lists this ribosomal RNA (121 nucleotides) under uncultured ciliate. Its description in RNAcentral is "5.8S ribosomal RNA". It matches the Rfam family "5.8S ribosomal RNA", at positions 6 to 126 of the family's 154-position model. Rfam says of the family: 5.8S ribosomal RNA (5.8S rRNA) is a component of the large subunit of the eukaryotic ribosome. It is transcribed by RNA polymerase I as part of the 45S precursor that also contains 18S and 28S rRNA. Lineage: Eukaryota; Ciliophora. The record is from RNAcentral.